UUUUUUUUUUUUCUUUUUUGUCCGCCCACAGCCUAUGGAGUUCCGGGGACAGGGAUCAGAUCCGAGACACAGUUGCGCAGCUGCAGCAUCACCAGAUCCUUAACCUGCUGUGCUGGGCCAGGGAUCAGCCCUGCCUCCCAGGGCUCCCAAGACGCCGCUGAUUCUGUUGCAUCACAGGGGGAGCUCCGGUGGUUUCUUACAAUGUUGAACACGCGUUUACUGUGUGCCAUUGAAACUCAGUUCCACACAAACCCCUGCUCACGAGGGUUUAUGGCAGCUUCACUUAUAAUUGCGAAAACCUGGACACAACCCAGAUGGCCGUUAACUGGUAGCGGAUCCACUGUGGUGCAUCUGUGCCAUGAACUGUCACUCGGGAUUGAAGAGGCUUGAGUUCCUGACACGUGUGAUCACGUGGGUGACUCUCGAUAGCAUUAUGCACCACGCGACAGGUGACACGCUGCCUGGUACUGCUUACACGAUGUUUUGGGUAAGACAAAGCUACAGGGACAGAACGACAGAAAGCAGAUCCCUGAUCGCCUGGAGCUGGGGGAGGGGACUGGCUCCAAGGGGAACAGAAUGGUGGCAAAGAUGCCGUAUUUGGCUGGGGUGGUGGCUACAGGUCCGCAGGCCUUUGUCCAACCUCAAAGAACUACGCCCUUAAAACGAGGGCUUUUGCUGAAUGCAAGUUGAACCUUGAUAAGCCCGACUCAAGAAAGACCUCCCGUCUCUUGGGCACAGUCGUAGGUCUCCGAGGGUCUCCUGCUCGUGGCAUUUCCCUCUCCCUCCUCUGCCUUCUGUGCAUCCUCCUAUUUUAAGACGACCUGUGAGAGGUCGCUUUGUGUCUGUCAAAUGAUACCAUUGUUGCUUUGCCGUCGCCCCUUUCGUCUUCCGCUCCUCUCUGGACAUGGUGAAAGUCGCGGGUUUUCGGUACCCCUUCUGGUUUGUGCCCUGCCUGGUGUUUCCCGCGGGGUGACACGGAUUCACAUCCUGGGUGCCGGCUGCCUCGGAGCCUUUGGCUACUUCAUGCUUCGGGGAAGCCCCCUCCGCCUGCCGCCCGCCAAGAUCAUCCUUCGGCCGCGGGACCGCCUGGUCGCCUACUCGGCGCUGGUGGUUGCAGUGAAACCUUUCCUGUCGGCAUGGAGAGUCCUCCUUUCCAGGCUGCUCUCUGUUUUCCUGGCCCGUCUUAAUACCCUCGAAAAGGCACUGCCAAAACCAACAGUCGUCUUCCGAGGCCUUUUCCGAAGACGUGUUUACUCAAGGUGGAGAGACGUCAAGGUGCCGCAUGGGUCACUUUCGAUGGUGUCGCUUUUGAUGUUGAAGAUCUCUGAACCGAAGGCAAGCGGAAGGGAGAGGGGAGGCCACGCAACAGAGAGCUUUGCGCUUGGGGCCCCAGCGUAUGAUCUAGCUGGCUGAACGCAAGAUGAUGCUGGCGGUCAUUGUGCCGGGACGUGGUGGCCGUGCGCUCUUGCAGGUCCAGGUGCACGGGAGCACCGCGGAACCAAGCAGAAGCAAGCAGCAGUUUGAGGGCGAGAAAAGUCAUGGGUCUGAAACUGGAGGGGGCCUGCAGCAAUGACUGGGUGCAUGUCCUGCCCCUCCUCGGGUUGGCGGGACUUCAGAUUUCCGCCUGAGAGAGGCAGACAGAGAAGCACCGGAAGAGGCCAGCCUGGUACCACUUGCCAGUCUAGGAGACUUUUGGACCCCUGUCUCCAGACCCCAGCGCGGCUUCUUUGUCCGCCUGGCCAGGUCCCGGGCACAGCUGCCAGCUCAGCUCUGCGUUAGAACUGCACUCAGCAUCAUGGAGCAUUUUUGGUUCUGGGGGUCGGGGUCUCAGCCUCAGGUCAUGACUCAGAAUAUUGGUCCUUGUCAACCUGAAAACUUCUGAGCAAUUGCCUGUCGAAUAAACUAGCUUUUGCUGUAAUGGUGACAUCCGCAUCACCAGUUUAUCUUUCUGCCUCUGAGUGGGUGGGGCUCUGUGUCCGUCAGUGUAAUACAUCUCAGGACUCCAUCCUUGUAACGGCCAAGGGGUCUCCCCUCUAAAAAUCACAGAUCACAAGGGCGAGAAGGAGUGUUGGGAGACGCCGUGGUGACUUUGCAACGGGAACCCUCAGAAGGAGGAAAGGGAAAGGCAGUGACCUGUCCAGGGUCACCCCAUCACUCAUCGCCGCUCAGUCUCUUAGGUUCAGCCAAUGCUGCUCUUCUGGGGGGCGGGCAGCACCCCCAAGGUUACGACUGUGGAGGCCAAAGAUGAUGCCACUAAAUGGCGAGGCCACCCUGGGACGGUGCCCACAAAGCCUGGCGGGCUUUCCACCUCCUCCUGUCUUGCAGGUCGGCACGUGCGUGUACCUGGAGCCCCCGCUUGUCUCCCACUGCUGGCUGGCCCACAGUCUUGGCGUGUUCUGCACGGUACCAGGGUACCAAUUAGUAAGUCCCCUGGCAUGUCCUCAGCUCAGUGCAGCCAGGGCACAUCCUGCUCGGCUGGUUUUGUUAGGAAAAUAAGACGGAACGCACGAGGGGGCUGGAAGAUGGGCGCAAUGGUCACCCCACCCCCACUCCAGGUAACAGUUCGCUCGGCCGUCAAGCUCUCUGUACUCGGGCGCGUGUGUGUGUUUGUGUGAGCCCAGCGGAAGCAGGGGGGCAGACGCCAAGACGUUCCGCCAAGCCACGCGCUUCGCGGCUCACCCUGAGAGGACCCAGCCCAGUUCCCCCAUCCUCGGAGGCCCCGUCGAGUUCCGCUGUCCCCAGCUGCUCUUAAAUGGCGCAUGACAGCUCUCGUAUUAUCGUUACUACUGUGAUGGCUAUUAUUUGGCCUCAGCAUCCAGUCCAAGGUCUCGAGCUGCCCGGGAUGCUUUUGCCAGGUCACUGCAAGGAACACUGAGGAAAGGCCCGGAGGAAAUUAGGAGACCGCCCUUCUCUCCGAGAAAAUGCAGGGACCAGAUGAAAAGCAGAGACAUUGACCUGAGGCCCAAUGUCAAGUCCAGGGCAGCAGCGCCCUCCCCGUUCUCGGCCCCUGGCUUUGGGGCGAUUCCCAGCCGGUGCCAACAGCACUUCCGCGGAGUUUGCGGAACUCCAGCCACACGGCUGACUCCCGGGCUCCAGGCCUGUUUAAAGAGGGAGGAGCCCUGGGUUCUGCCCGACUGGAGCUGUCAGAGGCUUCCUUUUAAGAAGGAAGGGAAGGCAGAAACGUGUUCAUUUUAACUCUUGCCUCCGAGUGACAUCCUGGGUUUGGCUUCUCCUCCUCUCUCCGUCCAGAAAAAUACCUGAGGCCACAGUGCUCAUAUUUCACAAGCAAGGCCCGGGCCCCUGGGCUCAUAGGUUUCUCAGUGAGGCCGGCGUGCGAGGGUCUCAAGCCCUGUGGUCCCCCGUCGGCUGUUUCUGCCACUUCCUCCGGGCGGCUUUCUGAGUCACUGCAGGGGAGCGGGAAGCGGGGGGCUGAGGCUGCAGGGAGGGUCCUCACCUCCCAGGCCACCCUGAAAAUCAGUGCUCCGGCAGGAAGGGGCACAGCAGGAAGCAGAGCAGGGUUUGCCCAAACGAGACCCGCUCUUCCCAUCCCGAGCGGGGGCCACACCCCAGGCACUGGCCACAGGACUCCUGGUUUCCCCUGUGUCCCGUGCAGCCAUCCACAAGGACGGACCCUGUGAACCCCCAGAAAAGGAAGUGGGGGUGCUAUGGGACGCUGCGUGCCUCACCUCUCUGCUCACCCAGCACUGGCUCUUCCUGGGCUCUCACCACCUUUACGUGGUAGCUGAUCUGGAGGCCGUUAAAGCUUCAGCAUCCAGGUACCAGGAAGCUCGGGAUAAAGAUGGCAGGCUUCAGGGGCUGCAUUAGACACGAAGGAACCUUAGUCGAGGGAUCAUGACUGUUGAAAAAGAUCAUGGAAACCUCAGACCCUCUCAUUUCACCCUUCCCCUCGGCAGAGGAUGAGCAGAAGCUCAGAGCGGGCCACCUGCCCGGGGCUGUCCAGCUGGCCAGGACCAUGCCGCCCCUCCAACCGAGGCUGCUUCCUCCCAAGUCUUGGAUCCGGUCCUGGUCAUUUUCUUGGGGCCGCGGACUGUGUCGGGCAGUGAGAUCUUCAGAAGUAGGGACCUGUAUACACAGAGGAAGGGCAGGCCCAAGGGACCAGCUUUUCUCUUGGCCAGACGUCACGUCGGUGGCAAUACCCCAGGGCUGUGAGGGACCAAAUUCAGCUCAGAGUCCAGCUGGCAUUCCAGAAUUCAGAUGCGCCACGGAGCCCAGUGUCCCCCCACCAUCACAGCUUCUCACCCAAGACCCCACCCACCCGGGCAUGGCCAGUCUCCAGGCACGUUGCAAGUAUCCAGCCCCAUACAAAGUUUCCGUGGUUGGUUGGGUGUUCUGUCAUCGAGCUGUUGAGCUUCAACUCAGUUUUCAUGUUCCGGAGGCUUAGGCUCUUUGGGGAGAAAGAGAAAAGAAUUCCUUUGGAGCCACUGGUUUGGCCUGUCUUGCUAUGUGAAUUGCAUAUGAUUGGGACAAUUCAUCUUGAAUCUUGGUGCAAAACUCUACACGACGUGUUACCCACAGACCCCUCCAUCCGCUCCCCAGGUGUUCUCUUCGGGGGGAUUUCUUAAGCGCAGUUUUUUUGACCACCUAGGGGUGCUGAGCUGUUGGCGCGGUCCUCGAGGGAGGCCUUGGUGCCAUGAGGAGGAAGAGAAAAAGUCCCGACGGGUCGUCACAAAGCAGUUACGUCGGCUUUUAUUCUUCACUGGCAGCAUGGCCCUUCCAAAGGAUCUGCCAUCGUGCCGCUCAUUUCUCUCUCUGAUAAAGACUUCCUCCUUUUCUUUCUUUCUCUUAUUUUUGAAUCUCACCAAGAAUAAGAGCCUUCAACUAGCUCUGUGCCAUUGUUCAGGGUAUGGUGCUCUAAUGAGCCUCAGUGUGGGUCAGUCAGUGGAUGGAGGUGGCAGAUUGCAGGCUGAUUCUCCGCACUUGGAAGACAAAGGCAGGGCUCUUGAACGCGAUGGGAACAUGAUUUUCCCCUGAAAUGAUCCGUCACCUCAUGUGAUUCUCAGAUGAGGCAGGGAUGCGUUGAGCUCUUGAUGGCUCAGACUUCCUGCUUUGGCUAAACUCAUUGUUCCCCCAAAAGGCCAUUGGCUUUCUUUGGUCUGGGCCUUGGUGCAAGCUGUCCCCCGCCAAGAGGGGCCGCCCACCACUUUGCCACGCCAGGACCAUGCUCCGUCUGGCAGUGCACUACGUGGGCAUCCUGAAUGGUACCCAGGACAGUUCUAGGUGGUCUCAAGUUAAGUAUUUUCCACUUAAAGGUUACUUUAUUUAUCUGCAUGCUUGGGGCGGGGCAGCUAGACCGUCGAGUGGGCGGCCUCCACGCUAUCACUGUGGGGGUAGGUGGACCACCGAGUGGAUAACUUCAAGGAUAUCAUCCCUAGAAUGAGGCCAAGUUCUAAGAGGGAACUCACUUUGAUCGACUUUGAAAAUGAAAUAACACUGGGGGGAUCACAACGGGUGCAUGCGCUCCGUCUUGCUGCGUUUGCGCAAGUCCAAACUCCCAAACACUCUGAGGCCCCCCAGACCCCCAACCCCAGACCCUCAGCUGCCCGACUGUCACCAGAGUUCAGCAAAGCCCACUGUGGUGCUGCCCUGCCUUCUGGAGGAGAGCGCGCCAGCCCUGCUUCUCCUCCCCCACGGACCCCGUGUGGCCUCUAGAACUUGACCC
Molecule: long non-coding RNA, 5680 nt
Filed under: Sus scrofa (pig)
Lineage: Eukaryota; Metazoa; Chordata; Mammalia; Artiodactyla; Suidae
Description: lncRNA (ENSSSCG00015004252.1)
Source: RNAcentral